This 75-nucleotide transfer RNA is filed under the name Microtrichalus sp. A00242. RNAcentral's name for it is "tRNA-Glu". The record is from RNAcentral. Lineage: Eukaryota; Metazoa; Arthropoda; Insecta; Coleoptera; Lycidae.
UUAUAAAAAGGUAUAUUUAACUUUACAAUGAAAAUGUAAUGUUUUAAUUAAACUAUAUAAAUAAAAAUCAGAAAU